UACGGAGGGGGCUAGCGUUGUUCGGAAUUACUGGGCGUAAAGCGCGCGUAGGCGGACCUGCAAGUCGGGGGUGAAAGCCCGAGGCUCAACCUCGGAACUGCCUUCGAUACUGCGGGUCUCGAGUCCGGGAGAGGUGAGUGGAAUUCAUGGUGUAGCAGUGAAAUGCGUAGAGAUCAUGAGGAAGACCAGUGGCGAAGGCGGGUCUCUGGACAGUUCCUGACACUGAGGCACGAAGGCCAGGGGAGCAAACGGG
RNAcentral lists this ribosomal RNA (253 nucleotides) under uncultured bacterium. Its description in RNAcentral is "partial 16S ribosomal RNA". It matches the Rfam family "Bacterial small subunit ribosomal RNA", at positions 524 to 776 of the family's 1533-position model. The record is from RNAcentral.